This 72-nucleotide transfer RNA is filed under the name Camelus bactrianus (Bactrian camel). It matches the Rfam family "tRNA". Rfam says of the family: Transfer RNA (tRNA) molecules are approximately 80 nucleotides in length. Their secondary structure includes four short double-helical elements and three loops (D, anti-codon, and T loops). Further hydrogen bonds mediate the characteristic L-shaped molecular structure. tRNAs have two regions of fundamental functional importance: the anti-codon, which is responsible for specific mRNA codon recognition, and the 3' end, to which the tRNAs corresponding amino acid is attached (by aminoacyl-tRNA synthetases). tRNAs cope with the degeneracy of the genetic code in two manners: having more than one tRNA (with a specific anti-codon) for a particular amino acid; and 'wobble' base-pairing, i.e. permitting non-standard base-pairing at the 3rd anti-codon position. The record is from Rfam by way of RNAcentral. Lineage: Eukaryota; Metazoa; Chordata; Mammalia; Artiodactyla; Camelidae. RNAcentral also lists the same sequence under 2 other names.
GAGGGUAUAGCUCAAGUGGUAGAGCGCAUGCCUAGCAUCACAAGGUCCUGGGUUCAAUCCCCAGUACCUCCU